GAGGGUAUAGCUCAGCAGUAGAGUGCAUGAUUUGCCUGCACAAAGUCCUGGGUUCAAUUCCCAGAACCUCCA
RNAcentral lists this transfer RNA (72 nucleotides) under Camelus bactrianus (Bactrian camel). It matches the Rfam family "tRNA". From Rfam's summary of the family: Transfer RNA (tRNA) molecules are approximately 80 nucleotides in length. Their secondary structure includes four short double-helical elements and three loops (D, anti-codon, and T loops). Further hydrogen bonds mediate the characteristic L-shaped molecular structure. tRNAs have two regions of fundamental functional importance: the anti-codon, which is responsible for specific mRNA codon recognition, and the 3' end, to which the tRNAs corresponding amino acid is attached (by aminoacyl-tRNA synthetases). tRNAs cope with the degeneracy of the genetic code in two manners: having more than one tRNA (with a specific anti-codon) for a particular amino acid; and 'wobble' base-pairing, i.e. permitting non-standard base-pairing at the 3rd anti-codon position. RNAcentral also lists the same sequence under 2 other names. The record is from Rfam by way of RNAcentral. Lineage: Eukaryota; Metazoa; Chordata; Mammalia; Artiodactyla; Camelidae.